MicroRNA precursor from Oryza rufipogon (brownbeard rice), 205 nucleotides. It matches the Rfam family "MIR812 microRNA precursor family". Lineage: Eukaryota; Viridiplantae; Streptophyta; Magnoliopsida; Poales; Poaceae. The record is from Rfam.
AAAAACUCAAUUCUUGGGUUUUCGUGUCUAACGUUUGACCGUCUAUCUUAUAUGAAAUUUUUUAUGAUUAGUAUUUUUAUUAUUGUUAGAUGAUAAAAUAUAAAUAAUAUAAUAUGCAUGACUUAUAUUUUUAAAAUUUUUCAUAAUUUUUUUAAAUAAGACGGACAGUCAAAUGUUAGACACGUAAACCUGGGAUGGAGGGAGU